CGACGUCCCCGCUGUCCCCGCCCGGGGCCCGGCGAACCCACAUAACUUGGACGAACAGUCCAGGGUCUCCCAGCGGGGCGAGAAGUCCCCGUGGAGUUUUACUGCAGUCUGUCGCUGGGGUGCGGUUGUGGGUACAGAGCGUAGGUGGGAGCCGUCGAAGCCAGCUUCUCCGGGAGCUGGUGGAGGCAACAAUGGAACACCACCUACCUAUGGCUGUAUCCCUAACCAAGCGAAAGCUUGGGACAACGGCAGGUGGGCAGUUUGGCUGGGGCGGCACCCCCUUGAAAAGAUAUCAAGGGGGCCCUAAGCUCAGCUCAUCCGGGACAGAAACCCGGAGUAGAGGGCAAGGCCAAAAGCUGGGCUGACUGGAUCCUCCAUAGCAAGGGAUCCAGAGGCGAAAGCCGGGCCUAGCGAUCAUUCAUGUCCCCAUUGUUGGGGGCUGGAUGUGACAGAAAAAUUACCCCGGGAGUAAUUGGCUCGUCUCCCCCGAGAGUCCCCAUCGACGGGGAGGAUUGGUACUCCGCCGUCGUCCGUUCCCAUCCUGGGUCUGCAGCAGGACCCAAGGGUGCGGCUGUUCGCCGAUUAAAGGGGAAUCCGAGAUGGGUUUAGUCCGUCGCGAGACAGGACGGAUUCUACCUGCUGGGAGUGCUGGCCGCCUGAGGGGAAGGCGCCCCUAGUACGAGAGGAACGGGGCGUCGCAGCCUCUAGUUUACCGGUUGUCCGACAGGGCACUGCCGGGCAGCCACGCUGUUGGGGAUAAGAGCUGAAAGCAUCUAAGCUCGAAACCCCUCCCGAAAAUAGGCGGCCGUUCCAGCUUUAAUCUAGACCUGGCAACAGGCCUAGAAAGCUGGAGGAGGGCACCCAUAGAAGAUGGGGUUGAUGGAGCAGGGGUGUACGCGCCAAGGCUUCGGCCGAGGCGUUUAGCCCGCUGCCCCCAAUAGCCCGACACGCCAAGCUG
This 958-nucleotide ribosomal RNA is filed under the name Candidatus Bathyarchaeota archaeon. RNAcentral describes it as "partial 23S ribosomal RNA". It matches the Rfam family "Archaeal large subunit ribosomal RNA", at positions 2082 to 2987 of the family's 2987-position model. Lineage: Archaea; Thermoproteati; Candidatus Bathyarchaeota. The record is from RNAcentral.